Firmicutes bacterium CAG:884 is the source of this 94-nucleotide regulatory RNA element. It matches the Rfam family "PGK RNA". From Rfam's summary of the family: mammalian gut metagenomes. Environment (Cow rumen (57)) The record is from Rfam. NCBI's taxonomy places the organism in Bacteria, Bacillati, Bacillota.
AAUAAAUCCUUAUCAGCGCUAAGCAAAAGCAAUUGUUUUAUGAGAAAGUAAACUCAAAUGAUAAGACGUUGUGGUGAAUACUGAUAAUAUUCAU